CAAGAGCAAGGGAAAGAACAAGAGAAAAGCUGUGGAGUCGAAGAAUCGACGAAUCAAAGCCAUGUGAAGAAGCAAAAAACCAUGAAUUGAACCAAUUAACCUACUGUAUUCCCUUUGAGACAGGUGAAGAAUCAGGCACCCAAACUCACACUAUGAAUCCUAAUCCCUUGGAGAUGCUGGCUCGUGAGGUGAAAGCACCAAGCUCACACGAGCAAGCUCGAUUAGUAACCACAGAAGGCAUGACUGAUGAUUCAUUGGUGAUCAUGGGGAAGUGGAGCCCAUAUGCUUCCAUUAUCAAUCAUCUGUGCAACACUGCGAUGCCCCAAGAGCAUCAAGGUACAAACUUGCAAUCUUUAUUCAAGUCAUGGGAGGCCUAUAACAGUUAGAUGAUGAUAUGUCAAGUCAAGUGGACAAAAGAAUUUGAAGAAUGCUAUGUAUGGCUUUUCUUUCUGUUUGGAAUUAAUGUGAAAUAGAGAAGUGUAUGUGUAUCUUUCUUUCUGCAAUUUUCUUGUGAACUGUUU
RNAcentral lists this unclassified non-coding RNA (521 nucleotides) under Hevea brasiliensis (rubber tree). Lineage: Eukaryota; Viridiplantae; Streptophyta; Magnoliopsida; Malpighiales; Euphorbiaceae. The record is from RNAcentral.